UACGUAGGGGGCAAGCGUUGUCCGGAUUUACUGGGCGUAAAGCGCGUGUAGGCGGUCUUGUAAGUUGGGUGUGAAAUCCCGAGGCUCAACCUCGGAACUGCCUCCAAAACUACAAGUCUGGAGCAAGAUAGAGGCAAGUGGAAUUGCGAGUGUAGCGGUGAAAUGCGCAGAUAUCAGGAGGAACACCUAUUGCGAAGGCAGCUCGCUGGGACGUAACUGACGCUGAGACGCGAAAGCGUGGGGAGCAAACAGG
RNAcentral lists this ribosomal RNA (253 nucleotides) under uncultured bacterium. RNAcentral describes it as "partial 16S ribosomal RNA". It matches the Rfam family "Bacterial small subunit ribosomal RNA", at positions 524 to 776 of the family's 1533-position model. The record is from RNAcentral.